Molecule: long non-coding RNA, 1247 nt
Organism: Rhododendron vialii
Lineage: Eukaryota; Viridiplantae; Streptophyta; Magnoliopsida; Ericales; Ericaceae
Exons: 5
Source: RefSeq, a predicted model, not a curated record
AUCAACACCAUCACGCCGGUGUCGGAGAAGGUCAGGAACGUUGAGUUUGAGAGAUUUUGGGAAUGGAAAUAGCAGAUCUCAGAUUUGGCAAGAUUGUCAUUGUUCUGGCCUCUGUUCUUCUCAUUUACUCCCCCAUAGCGUCACACUCUCGCACACCACACCAUCCACCCCAGCUUCUUACCAAAAUUAUUUCACGGCAUCAGUGGUCGAUGGAAAGGGUAAGUCUAGUUACUGCGGCUCUGACAAAUAUCGUCGUCUAAAAUCGUAAACGUCGCUCGCUAGGUAAGUUCUUACUCAAUGUGGGUUUCGAUUGGCUAAUUGUUGGGUUUAGUAGUAAUUUGUGAGAGUGGGUUUCGAUUUGUGAGAACCCGACUUCUAGAAAUUGCAUAAGGUAUACAGAUUUUCUGUGGUUGUUAAUCCUUUCUGGUUAUCGAUCUAGGUUUUUGUUUGAAUUUUGUUUCUAUAUAUCUGAUUUGCCCGCUUUGCAUGCGUUUGUUAGUGCUAAUUUCUCUGGGUAUUCGGAUUGUGAUUGUUGGUGUUGAUUUUGCAGAGAGUUAAAGUUGGUUCUUUGGUUCUUUGGUUGGUGAGGGGGGUCAGAAGCGGAGAAGAAGAAUUGAAGGAACGAAUUUGGAUUGUCAAAUCUUGAUUUGCUUCUCUUGGGUUUGUUGGUUGUCGAUCGGAGGUUCCGUGAACGUAUAUUCUAGGGUUAGGAUUUUGGUUGAAAGAAAAAACAGGGAAGAAAUGGGCCAAUAGUUGCUCAUCUACAACUUUGUGGCUCCAGAUUGAGGGUUCAGAUAUUCUAAAGACAUCUAGCUUGCUCCCUUGAGGAACUGAAAAUCAAUCAUGAGCUCCUCAGCUGUUGCAAUGACGAUGAUAUGCAAUGGGCUUCUGACAAUGCACAGUUCACAAGAAAUAAUGCAUCAGAUAUUGAACUUGCAAGCAGAAGACUAUGGAAGUCGAAAAGCAGGUGACAAGGCAAUAAAGGGAAUUGCUCCAAUUGAGACCUCCUGACCACCGAGAAUGAGCAGAUUCAAGCCAUCCCCAACUACUGCAACGAUUUUAGAAAUAUUCAAAAUUGCUCUCUUCAACGGGUAUGACAAACAUGCCAUGGAGGCUGUUGCAGCUGAGGCUUGGAAAUAUAUGUGCUUUAAAUGUAAUUAUCUGCAUUCUUUUUCUGCUCAACCCUAUUUGGUUUUUGCCAUUAAUGACGUUAUCUGCGUGUAAACGUUAUCCUUGGGUUUACAAUA